AUGAAAGGAUUGAAUACACACACAAAAAAAGCACAAAACCAAAAGAGGCAAACACCCCGAAGGCAUCUCCCCAAAGAACCCAAAACUAAAGAGAUACAAAAACUUUCACUGUGCACGUCCAUAGUGGGAUUCUCCAACCUGAUACUGUACACUGAAUUUUGUCAAAUGAGGAUUAUUUUGAAGGUGGGGGGGGUUUGUGGAGGAGCAUGUAAUCCUGUAAGGAAGUACAGCUUUGUUGGCGCACAUGUAAAGUUCAACACAUGUAACACAGUGCUGAAUUGUAGUGAGAUAAGAGAAAAGGCACUGCUUGAAUUAGAAGCUGCCAGUCAGAGGUUUGGUAGGCUUUCCUCAUACACCUCAGGAGAAUAUGUAAACAACUUCCAUCUUUCCUUGGUGAUUUCGGUAAAAACAACUGUGUUUAACUCAUAUUGGCAGAUGCAGAAAGCGCUACAUGAAAUGAUGGAGGAGAAAAAAAGCCUGGAAGCAGAACUAGCAGCAAGCAAGCAGCAGGUCAAACAGGUUCUCAGUGAGAUGACUGACAAGACUGAACUGGCAAACAACAAAGGCAAACUUCAGGUACUUAAACUUUGCAAAGGCAGACCGCUCUUUGAGUUGCCUGUCCCUUUUCUUUUGUACUUCCUCUCUCAUUUCCGCUGUUUAGCCUAAGUCUUAUUGUUUUGCUUGGUUUUUGCUUUUGUUUUUGUCUGAGACAGGUAAUGAAGAGGUAACCAGACCCUUUCCCCCUCCAGCCCAUCAGGGCUUAGAGACGAAACUGGGCUGGCAGGUGGCAGAAUACCAUGGGGCUCGUCUUUGGACCAGCCAUUCUGUCCAUCUUGUCCCUCUGAGCUUGCUUAACAUGGUUGCAGUGUUUCUUUCUUUUUUUCCCCCCAGAGUUAUAUUGAAAAAGACAAGGUUGCUUCAUGAUGCUCAGUGUCCUUUGAGACUAUUUUAAAAGCCAAAUUUUUUGACAGAAAAGCCCUUCAAAUGUUGCAGUAUAACUCGCUUUCCUACAGGUUUAUUCUGUGGUACUGCUGUAAGGCCUACAACAGUAUAGGGGGGUAGGGGGGAAUGUAAAGUUCUUCCUCCAAAAUGACAUCUCCAAAGCCCAGCCCAAUGAUGAUUUCAUAUGAACUUGUGCAAUGCCCCUUCUCCAAUGCAGUUGCUGGCCCCGGACAUUGCUGUGGCACCAGGUAAAGUGGUUGUCAUGGCAUAGCUGUAGAUUUUGAAGUACAGGAGGACCCCCGUAUCCAUGGGAUCAGUAUCUUUUGUUUCAUUUAUCCAGUCUGAAAAUAUUAAAAGAAAAAAGAAUUCAAAAGAACUAUUUUUACAUGCUUUACCAGAACCAGCCACUAAAGGGGACUAGAGACUGUGUUAUGAAUACUUGGUAGUGAAGAAUGCAUAGCAUGGUCUCUCAUGCUCACUAGUGACCAGGUAUGGUAAUACAUGUGUGGCGAUCGCCCAUGUCACUCAUGCUAUUCAUAUCCAUGGGCUGAUUUGCAUGAACCUACGAGAGGGCUGGAGGGGGGGAGUCAUCAGCUACAUGAGGCUUGGCAGGAGGAGGGGUCAGAAUGGGAUUUAUUUAUUUAUUUAUUUGAUUUGAUUUGAUUUGAUUUGAUUUGAUUUGAUUUGAUUUGAUUUGAUUUGAUUUGAUUUGAUUU
RNAcentral lists this long non-coding RNA (1658 nucleotides) under Pogona vitticeps (central bearded dragon). RNAcentral describes it as "lncRNA (ENSPVIG00000004552.1)". Lineage: Eukaryota; Metazoa; Chordata; Lepidosauria; Squamata; Agamidae. The record is from RNAcentral.